ACUUUGGCAUUGAAAAUGCAUUUUUAACUCUCAUUAUAUUCAAGGUAUCUCAUAUCAAGCCUGAUCUGAGUGGUUCAUUAUUAUAUAUUACCCUAAUUAAGUUAGAAAAAUAAAUACACAAUUUAAUAGAAACAAUUUAAAUUUAAGAACAAAUGUAAUUGUUAUGCACUUAUAUUUCUUUAUUAAUUGAUGAUAAAUUUAUUAUGUAUCUCUAUUGAAGUAUAUAUAAUUUAUAUAUUCAUCCUGUGUAGAAGUAACUUAUGUAUAGUGAUUAAUUUCUGGAACAUUCAAAUUAGCAUCAGCCACAAUGUAAAUAUUUAUGACCCCUCAAGUGGAACCUGCUGUUUUCAUAACUACCAAAGUUAAACUCACCUAUCUGAUAUAAGAGAAUGGAAAGAGGUAAAGCAGGUUUACAACAUACUAUAUUACACUGUAGUUCCCAAGUAACUUAAUACCCUUGCAGAACAAAUCACAGGUCAGAACACUCCUUCCAGGCGGUUCAUUUGAACAGAAGCAUUGAAAGAUAAAUGUUUAUUAGUGCCUAACUGCUUAAAAGUUAUAACUUGAAAUAUUAUGUUUGAGCAUUGGAAAUUAGACCAAAUGAGUUUAAACUGGACAAAUACAAGAGUUUUCUGGAAAUAUGAACUUUUAAACAUGUGUAUUUCAUGAUUCAGUUAAAAUGGAGGGAACUACAUGUAUAUAACCAUUUCUAACAGUUGCAAACUUUCAAGUCUUGGAGUCACAUGAGAUGUUUCAACUCAAAGGAUGUCAGAUGAGGGAAAAGUGAUAAAUGUACUGUUGAAUACAGAAUGCUUACAAAACCAUCCUGGACCAACUGCAGAGCAAGGUUAUUGGCAAAACAAGCUACAGUAAGAUGGCCAUUGUUCUAUUUCGCUUUUUGUAUAAAGAGGAGGAAUAUGCCGGAAAAUCAUUGACAGGGAAAGCAUCCAAAAGUGGCGAAAAAAGGCCACCUGUUGACCAAGAGAAGUUGACAGGAAUUUACGAUAUCAUCAAAAGGAAUUUUCCGCAUGUCACACCAGUGAUGGUCAGGGAAAAGCUGCGUGACAUUGUCAAGCCAUCUCGUGCCAACAAAACAGUGAAAAAAUAAAUAUGUGUACAAAAUAAACUGUGGCGGUUUUAGCCAUUCAGAACAAUAUAAAUGAGAACAUUUGAAAACUUGUUUUACUAUAAUUAUAUAUGGUGUAAAUAAAUCUUUAAUGUGUCAUAAUUUUACAGCCUUGUCAAUUCAAAAUCAUUGUUGCACUAGUGCAACUCCCAUGUGAAAAAGAUUGUGUGGGACCUUUUUUUACAGACUUUUUAAACAGGUAUCUACACAAGUGUUAUAUCAUGGACAUUGACCAUGGAUGUCAUAAAAGAUUCCUCAAAAUUGGUUUUGAACAUGGAUAGAAUGGACAUUGUCCAUGGAAAGAAUGGACAUUGUCCAUGGAAAGAAUGGACAAUGUCCAUGGUAAGAAUGGACAUUGUCCAUGGCAAGAAUGGACAUUGUCCAUGGACAUCAUGGACAUUGUCCAUGGGUAUCAUGGACAAUGGACAUGGAAAGCAUGGACAUGGAUAGCAUGGACACUGUCCAGGGAUUUAAAGAAUUGUCCAUGGACAAGUGUUUCAAUACUCCAUGGACACUGUCCAUGCUUAUAUCCAUGGAAAUCCAUGGACAUUCUGUAGCCGGG
Long non-coding RNA from Ruditapes philippinarum (Manila clam), 1688 nucleotides. RefSeq lists it as uncharacterized. The record is from RefSeq and is a predicted model, not a curated record. The transcript has 4 exons. NCBI's taxonomy places the organism in Eukaryota, Metazoa, Mollusca, Bivalvia, Venerida, Veneridae.